UUUAGGGGGUUUUUGGGGGAUGUUUCUAGAGUUAUGUUCUAGUUGUUUGGUCCCUCAUUUGAGUCCACCUGUGUAGGUUCGGACCCGAGGAACCGAGGACCCCAGCAGUGAGUCAGUUGCCUCAGUCAGUGUCAGAGCUAGCCAGAGGUGAGUGGAAUAACUCUUAUGCUUUUAAAUAAAUAAAUCAGUUUUAGCAUGAUUCACGCAUCAUGAAUGCCAUGAGAUAUAAUAGGGUGCUUGCAUUAGAACUCACGAAUAUGUUGCAUUGCAUAAUAUGUUGUUGAUGUGGAUGAAUGUUGAAUGAUCCAUUAGCCCUCAUAUGUUAUGACGUGAUGAUAUGAUAUGGAAGUCCAGGUGUGGCCUGCACUACGCCCCUGG
Molecule: long non-coding RNA, 378 nt
Filed under: Manihot esculenta (cassava)
Lineage: Eukaryota; Viridiplantae; Streptophyta; Magnoliopsida; Malpighiales; Euphorbiaceae
Description: long non-coding RNA (MESC_LNC005115)
Source: RNAcentral